RNAcentral lists this long non-coding RNA (388 nucleotides) under Prunus persica (peach). RNAcentral's name for it is "long non-coding RNA (PPER_LNC000593)". The record is from RNAcentral. Lineage: Eukaryota; Viridiplantae; Streptophyta; Magnoliopsida; Rosales; Rosaceae.
CAGACGACGGCAAAACAAAAGAACCGUCGUGCUAAUCCAUAGAAACGUGGAUGUGCUAAUACGACGUAGUCAUUAACUUAACACAAUAGUAAUUGAAUAAAACCGUCGUCAUGUUAUAAGUUCAUAAACAAAUCGCCCAGUUUUCUCUCUCCCACGUUCGUUUCAAAUCAGACGACAGUUUUCUCUUCAAACGUCGUAUUUAUUAACAUACCACAUCGGUUAGUAUGAAUAGUCGUGCUAUUGAAAUAGCACGAAUUUAAUUACCAUCGUGGUGUGUCAACAAAAACGUCAAAUUCAAAAAAACCCCAUCGUCCUCACAUGACCUGUGAGUGAUAACAGUGAACGGUUUGGCAAUUUCAAACCAACUUCUUUUUCAAACAUCAGUGGG